RNAcentral lists this ribosomal RNA (449 nucleotides) under uncultured bacterium. RNAcentral's name for it is "partial 16S ribosomal RNA". It matches the Rfam family "Bacterial small subunit ribosomal RNA", at positions 28 to 523 of the family's 1533-position model. The record is from RNAcentral.
GACGAACGCUGGCGGCAGGCCUAACACAUGCAAGUCGAGCGCUGUAGCAAUACAGAGCGGCGCACGGGAUAAUAACGCGUGGGAACCUACCUUAUGGUUCGGAAUAACAUCGGGAAACUGGUGCUAAUACCGGAUAAGCCCUUCGGGGGAAAGAUUUAUUGCCAUUAGAUGGGCCCGCGUUAGAUUAGCUAGUUGGUGAGGUAACGGCUCACCAAGGCGACGAUCUAUAGCUGGUCUGAGAGGAUGAUCAGCAUCACUGGGACUGAGACACGGCCCAGACUCCUACGGGAGGCAGCAGUGGGGAAUAUUGGACAAUGGGGGAAACCCUGAUCCAGCCAUGCCGCGUGAAUGACGAAGGCCUUCGGGUUGUAAAGUUCUUUUGACGGGGACGAUGAUGACGGUACCCGUAGAAUAAGCUCCGGCUAACUUCGUGCCAGCAGCCGCCGUAA